This 28-nucleotide non-coding RNA is filed under the name Bombyx mori (domestic silkworm). Lineage: Eukaryota; Metazoa; Arthropoda; Insecta; Lepidoptera; Bombycidae. The record is from RNAcentral.
UACUUGCGGGGAACUACCGGCUGGCCGC